UGAGAAAAAAAACAAAUGUUCAGUGUAUAUAUAAAAUUGAAGAGUAAAGUGAAGGGUAAAUUCUUGUGUUGUUGAACAAUAUUCAGAGACAAAAAGAAUCAGCAGAAACAUUGUAUUGGCACAACUUGCUACAUAAUGGAAUAAAUGUUCUCAAAGAAAAAACUAGUUUCACAAGUGGGCAGAUAUUUGUUGGCUCUCUUUGCAUUUGUAAUUCUAUCCACUUGUACAUCUGUUCAUCCAUGUCUCUGUGCACCUGUAACAAUUUAAUUUAUGUUAAUUGUUGGAAAAGAACGUAGGCUUAUGGGCUGCAUCCAUGUAUCAAGUGCGAAGAAAAAAAGAUUACUCGUAAUAUCAGCGAAAGUAGGCUUAUGUACCACUAUUGUAUUUCCAAGGAAAAUAUGUUCCUCAUGAGAUUAAUUUGAAUAUGCGGAAUCGCUGAAGAAUAGGAAGAAAUUAAAUAAAGUUAGGCCACAAAAUCAUAUCUAACAACCCUCUAUUGCUGUAAAAUGUUGAAUAAGAUUAAUGUGUACAUGUUCAUGCAG
RNAcentral lists this long non-coding RNA (542 nucleotides) under Triticum aestivum (bread wheat). RNAcentral describes it as "long non-coding RNA (TAES_LNC025207)". Lineage: Eukaryota; Viridiplantae; Streptophyta; Magnoliopsida; Poales; Poaceae. The record is from RNAcentral.